CCAAAACCUCCUUCCUGCACCAAGACUUAAGCCAUGCAUUGACAUCUCUAAUCUCCCACUGCCUUUCCACUGUAGCGUGUGGCACAGGUAAUAUCUCAGAAUUCCACCUUUGAGGUCCUUUUCUUAAAUUUGCUACCUAAUUCCCUGAAAUUAUUCUUUAGGACCUUCGAUUUUCCUCUUACUUUAUCAUUGGUACCAGAAUGAACCAUGGAUGCUGGGUCAUCC
Molecule: non-coding RNA, 225 nt
Organism: Pelobates cultripes (western spadefoot toad)
Lineage: Eukaryota; Metazoa; Chordata; Amphibia; Anura; Pelobatidae
Source: the annotation of a GenBank genome assembly